UGAAAAGCUGUGAAGGGAAUAAGACACAGUGCUUUAAGCUGCAGAGAGUUGGCGUAUGGUGCGAGCCAAUGUUUAUGCCUGUGUGUAUAGCUCAUCCCGGAGUUGACUGUCCGAAAUGUAGGGCAGUACGCAAGACUGCGUUAGAGGUCAGAGCCUUGUCAGAGGCUUACUAAGGAGCAAUUUAUUGCUUAAAUUUGGGUGGUACCACGGUAACGCUUUGUGUAAUAUCGUCCCUUUU
This 238-nucleotide non-coding RNA is filed under the name Clostridium sp. RNAcentral's name for it is "T-box sequence". It matches the Rfam family "T-box leader". From Rfam's summary of the family: Uncharged tRNA acts as the effector for transcription antitermination of genes in the T-box leader family. Lineage: Bacteria; Bacillati; Bacillota; Clostridia; Eubacteriales; Clostridiaceae. The record is from RNAcentral.